RNAcentral lists this ribosomal RNA (392 nucleotides) under uncultured bacterium. Its description in RNAcentral is "partial 16S ribosomal RNA". It matches the Rfam family "Bacterial small subunit ribosomal RNA", at positions 523 to 918 of the family's 1533-position model. The record is from RNAcentral.
AUACGGAGGAUCCGAGCGUUAUCCGGAUUUAUUGGGUUUAAAGGGUGCGCAGGCGGCCAUUUAAGUCAGCGGUUAAAUCGUGGGGCUCAACCCCAUUCUGCCGUUGAUACUGGGUGGCUUGAUUGCGGUCGAGGUUGGCGGAAUUCGUUGUGUAGCGGUGAAAUUCAUAGAUAUGACGAAGAACACCGAUUGCGUAGGCAGCUGACCAGACCGCAAAUGACGCUCAUGCACGAAAGUGCGGGGAUCGAACAGGAUUAGAUACCCUGGUAGUCCGCACAGUAAACGAUGAAUACUUGUUUUCGGCGAUAUAAUGUCGGAGGCAAAGCGAAAGCGAUAAGUAUUCCACCUGGGGAGUACGCCGGCAACGGUGAAACUCAAAUGAAUUGACGGGG